RNAcentral lists this small nuclear RNA (124 nucleotides) under Zalophus californianus (California sea lion). Its description in RNAcentral is "U4 spliceosomal RNA (ENSZCAG00015023194.1)". The stretch from base 1 to 69 matches the Rfam family "U4 spliceosomal RNA". Rfam says of the family: U4 small nuclear RNA (U4 snRNA) is a component of the major U2-dependent spliceosome. The structure of U4 snRNA from yeast and human has been reported. The record is from RNAcentral. Lineage: Eukaryota; Metazoa; Chordata; Mammalia; Carnivora; Otariidae.
AGCUUUGCGCAGUGGCAGUAUCGUAGCCAAUGAGGUUUAUCCGAGGCGCGAUUAUUGCUAAUUGAAAAAGCAGGAAAAAUAAACAAUUUAAAGGUAGUUAAAAAAAUUCCAAAUAUACCAGUAA